CCCUGUGGAUAGCUCAGUCGGUAGAGCAUGAGACUCUUGAUCCCAGGGACAUGGGUUUGAGCAAUAGUUUCCCUACAUUUCAGGGG
Podarcis lilfordi (Lilford's wall lizard) is the source of this 86-nucleotide non-coding RNA. Lineage: Eukaryota; Metazoa; Chordata; Lepidosauria; Squamata; Lacertidae. The record is from the annotation of a GenBank genome assembly.